RNAcentral lists this long non-coding RNA (1100 nucleotides) under Homo sapiens (human). RNAcentral's name for it is "HSALNT0056695". The record is from RNAcentral. Lineage: Eukaryota; Metazoa; Chordata; Mammalia; Primates; Hominidae.
UAGAGAAUGCCAAACCAAUGGGGAAGGGAGUGUCAGGUUUUCAUUUCAAUUCAGAUAGUCAAGAAAUUACUCUCUCUCUGAAUCAGGUGAGCAAAGUUCUGAAUGAGGUGAGAUAGCCAGGGCUGAGAAUCACCAUGGGGCAAAAUAUUAUUGAUGCCUUGCUUGUUUCAAAAACAGUAGGAAAGCAAGCAUGCUUAGAAUUAGUACUCAGGAAGAAUCACAGCAAGAGAAGAGCUGAGACAGAUAAAGACCUAUGUUAGAGGGAGUAUACUGAUGGUGCAGUACCUUAUAGGCUUACAGAAUCUUGCAGUAUCUUAUAAAACCCUGUAGACCAUUCUAAGGGCUUUGAAUUUUAAUCCUAGUGAAGUGGGAAGCAUUUGGGCUGAUAUGGUUCGGCUCUGCGUCCCCACCCAAAUCUCAUCUCAAAUUGGAACCCCCAUGUCUCCAGGGAGGGACCUGGUGGGAGGUGAUUGGAUCAUCAGGGUGAUUUCCCCCAUGCUGUUCUUGUGAUAAAGAGUGAAUUCUCUUGAGAUCUGAUGGCUUAAAAGUGGAAGAUUCCCUGCACUCACCCUCUCUCCUGCCGCUGUGAAAGAAGGUGCUUUCCUCUCCUUCGCCUUCCACCAUGAUUAUUUUACCCUGCAUAAGGUAAAUAAUAUAUAUUUACAGUUUCAUCUUUGGCAAAAAAAAAAAUGAAAAUGAAAAUCAGAUUUCACUCCUUUUCAAGAGAAUUCAGGAUAUACCAAGACUAAUCAGGACCUAAAGAACAAACUAUAAAAUACUGAAACACACCAUGCAAAUAUACGCACAUUACUCUGCUAAAUAUCGGAACCAAAGUAAUCUAUUUAGAGAAAAGGGGUGAGAGGUGGCCUUUUUACUAAUCUCCAAGAGUGCUUGUGAAUUAAUUCAAACCUGGUAAAAUCUUUCACUUGAAGGAAUCAAGGUUGUUAUGUUACGGGACCCUCCGUUAAAGAAACAGAGGCUUUGAAGUGGAGGUUUAUUCAUCCUUCCCCGGAUGGACUGGAAAAUUGGCAGUGCCCAGGUUCAUCACAGGACAGAUACUCAGGACAUGCUGAUCUCGGAGAGUUGAAGGAACAAAAAAA